Molecule: long non-coding RNA, 312 nt
Organism: Sebastes umbrosus (honeycomb rockfish)
Lineage: Eukaryota; Metazoa; Chordata; Actinopteri; Perciformes; Sebastidae
Exons: 3
Source: RefSeq, a predicted model, not a curated record
AACGCCUUCCCGACCGACAGCGCCGUUGCAGAAGCGUAGCAGCCAUCCUCCUCAGAUUUAACAAAGGACAUCGUUAAGGAUUUUACCUGGAUUCACCUCAUCAGACACAAGUGUCCCCGCAGAGCUCAGUGGAGGAGCUGUUUGAUGUGUCUGACAUCUCUAUCAGAGAGCAGCGAGGAGUUGGUCUGCGGGGAGAAACAGCCCGAAGUGUAUACGAGGAACUUUCACACAUAUUUAAGUGCCUACAAACACACAGAUACCAGAAUAUACCAGGAUACGUAGAGCAUGCAGAGUCCAGGACCCAGGCUCUUG